CAGUCGCCGCGGGAAUACGUAGGUGGCAAGCGUUGUCCGGAUUUAUUGGGCGUAAAGCGUGCGUAGGCGGCUUCUUAAGUCGGAUGUGAAAUCCCUGAGCUUAACUUAGGAAUUGCAUUCGAUACUGGGAAGCUAGAGUAUGGGAGAGGAUGGUAGAAUUCCAGGUGUAGCGGUGAAAUGCGUAGAGAUCUGGAGGAAUACCGAUGGCGAAGGCAGCCAUCUGGCCUAAUACUGACGCUGAGGUACGAAAGCAUGGGGAGCAAACAGGAUUAGAUACCCCGGUAGUCCCUGUCUCUUAUAC
Molecule: ribosomal RNA, 301 nt
Filed under: uncultured bacterium
Lineage: Bacteria
Description: partial 16S ribosomal RNA
Rfam family: Bacterial small subunit ribosomal RNA
Source: RNAcentral